Molecule: ribosomal RNA, 301 nt
Filed under: uncultured bacterium
Lineage: Bacteria
Description: partial 16S ribosomal RNA
Rfam family: Bacterial small subunit ribosomal RNA
Source: RNAcentral
CAGCAGCCACGGUAAUACGGAGGAUCCAAGCGUUAUCCGGAAUCAUUGGGUUUAAAGGGUCCGUAGGCGGUCUUGUAAGUCAGUGGUGAAAGCCCAUCGCUCAACGGUGGAACGGCCAUUGAUACUGCAGGACUUGAAUUAUUGGGAAGUAACUAGAAUAUGUAGUGUAGCGGUGAAAUGCUUAGAGAUUACAUGGAAUACCAAUUGCGAAGGCAGGUUACUACCAAUUGAUUGACGCUGAUGGACGAAAGCGUGGGUAGCGAACAGGAUUAGAUACCCCUGUAGUCCCUGUCUCUUAUAA